AUUGAACGCUGGCGGCAUGCCUUACACAUGCAAGUCGAACGGCAGCACGGGUGCUUGCACCUGGUGGCGAGUGGCGAACGGGUGAGUAAUACAUCGGAACAUGUCCUGUAGUGGGGGAUAGCCCGGCGAAAGCCGGAUUAAUACCGCAUACGAUCUACGGAUGAAAGCGGGGGACCUUCGGGCCUCGCGCUAUAGGGUUGGCCGAUAGCUGAUUAGCUAGUUGGUGGGGUAAAGGCCUACCAAGGCGACGAUCAGUAGCUGGUCUGAGAGGACGACCAGCCACACUGGGACUGAGACACGGCCCAGACUCCUACGGGAGGCAGCAGUGGGGAAUUUUGGACAAUGGGCGAAAGCCUGAUCCAGCAAUGCCGCGUGUGUGAAGAAGGCCUUCGGGUUGUAAAGCACUUUUGUCCGGAAAGAAAUCCUUGGCUCUAAUACAGUCGGGGGAUGACGGUACCGGAAGAAUAAGCACCGGCUAACCACGUG
RNAcentral lists this ribosomal RNA (486 nucleotides) under uncultured bacterium. RNAcentral describes it as "partial 16S ribosomal RNA". It matches the Rfam family "Bacterial small subunit ribosomal RNA", at positions 30 to 507 of the family's 1533-position model. The record is from RNAcentral.